Basidiobolus meristosporus CBS 931.73 is the source of this 72-nucleotide transfer RNA. It matches the Rfam family "tRNA". Rfam says of the family: Transfer RNA (tRNA) molecules are approximately 80 nucleotides in length. The record is from Rfam. NCBI's taxonomy places the organism in Eukaryota, Fungi, Basidiobolomycota, Basidiobolomycetes, Basidiobolales, Basidiobolaceae.
UCUCGGAUAGUAUAGUGGUAAGUAUCCCCGCCUGUCACGCGGGAGACCCGGGUUCAAUUCCCGGUCCGAGAG